UGAGGAAUUUUCCGCAAUGGGCGAAAGCCUGACGGAGCAAUACCGCGUGAGGGAUGAAGGAUUUUGGUCUGUAAACCUCUUUUCUCAAGAAAGAAGUUCUGACGGUACUUGAGGAAUAAGCAUCGGCUAACUCCGUGCCAGCAGCCGCGGUAAUACGGGGGAUGCAAGCGUUAUCCGGAAUCAUUGGGCGUAAAGCGCCUGUAGGUUGUCUAAUAAGUCUGUUGUUAAAGACUAGGGCUUAACCCUGGGAAAGCGAUGGAAACUACUAGGCUUGAGUAUGGUAGGGGUAGAGGGAAUUUCUAGUGUAGCGGUGAAAUGCGUAGAUAUUAGAAAGAACACCGGUGGCGAAAGCGCUCUACUGGGCCAUUACUGACACUGAGAGGCGAAAGCUAGGGGAGCAAAAGGGAUUAGAUACCCCCGUAGUCC
This 426-nucleotide ribosomal RNA is filed under the name uncultured prokaryote. RNAcentral's name for it is "bacterial SSU rRNA". It matches the Rfam family "Bacterial small subunit ribosomal RNA", at positions 355 to 796 of the family's 1533-position model. The record is from RNAcentral.